CAUACGGGAAUGAUGUUCUCCCUUGGGAAACCUAAACCGCUUAUCAGGCUGAUGACUUCUGCAAU
This 65-nucleotide non-coding RNA is filed under the name uncultured Ruminococcus sp. RNAcentral describes it as "Fluoride riboswitch". It matches the Rfam family "Fluoride riboswitch aptamer (crcB RNA motif)", at positions 10 to 61 of the family's 64-position model. Lineage: Bacteria; Bacillati; Bacillota; Clostridia; Eubacteriales; Oscillospiraceae. The record is from RNAcentral.